Molecule: ribosomal RNA, 497 nt
Filed under: uncultured bacterium
Lineage: Bacteria
Description: partial 16S ribosomal RNA
Rfam family: Bacterial small subunit ribosomal RNA
Source: RNAcentral
GAUGAACGCUGGCGGCGUGCCUAAUACAUGCAAGUCGAGCGAACAGACGAGGAGCUUGCUCCUCUGACGUUAGCGGCGGACGGGUGAGUAACACGUGGAUAACCUACCUAUAGGACUGGGAUAACUUCGGGAAACCGGAGCUAAUACCGGAUAAUAUAUUGAACCGCAUGGUUCAAUAGUGAAAGACGGUUUUGCUGUCACUUAUAGAUGGAUCCGCGCCGCAUUAGCUAGUUGGUAAGGUAACGGCUUACCAAGGCAACGAUGCGUAGCCGACCUGGGAGGGUGAUCGGCCACACUGGAACUGAGACACGGUCCAGACUCCUACGGGAGGCAGCAGUAGGGAAUCUUCCGCAAUGGGCGAAAGCCUGACGGAGCAACGCCGCGUGAGUGAUGAAGGUCUUCGGAUCGUAAAACUCUGUUAUUAGGGAAGAACAAAUGUGUAAGUAACUAUGCACGUCUUGACGGUACCUAAUCAGAAAGCCACGGCUAACUACGUG